This 435-nucleotide long non-coding RNA is filed under the name Homo sapiens (human). RNAcentral's name for it is "non-protein coding lnc-PNPT1-2:1". The record is from RNAcentral. Lineage: Eukaryota; Metazoa; Chordata; Mammalia; Primates; Hominidae.
GAACAUCACACAUAUCACAUAAAAAACUAUAUUAUGAACAAGGACUUGCUAAGAAGAGUCUUGGUCUUGAUGAAUUCAAAGCACACUUUUCUGGCCUUGUGUGCCCUUCGCUUUAUGAGGCGGAUAAUUGGACUUAAAGAUGAAUUUUAUAAUCGUUACAUCACCAAGGGAAAUCUUUUUGAGCCAGUUAUAAAUGCACUUCUGGAUAAUGGAACUCGGUAUAAUCUGUUGAAUUCAGCUGUUAUUGAGUUGUUUGAAUUUAUAAGAGUGGUAAGUUUAUAUAAAACAGCUGUUAUUAUAUGUAAUUAUAUGUAAAUAAUUUUUUAUGUAAAAGAAUUACAUGUAAGCAAAGUGACUUCAUUCCCUUUUCACCCCUGAAAUUAUAUAUUCCAUGUGUCUUAGAAUCUAUUCUAAUAAACAGAAAUUUUAAAAAUC